GACGAACGCUGGCGGCGUGCUUAACACAUGCAAGUCGAACGGUCAGACGCCAGCUUUGUGGCGUACACGAGUGCCGAACGGGUGAGUAACACGUGUGUGACCUGCCCUGCACUUCCUGAUAAAACUGCGAAACUGGGUCUCAUACCGGGUAGGAUCGCACCGACAGGGUGUGGUGGAAGGUUAUUUCGGUGUUGGAUGGGCUGGUGGCCUAUCAGCUUGUUGGUGGGGUAUUGGCUUACGAAGGCGGCGACGGGUAGCCGGCCUGAGAGGGUAGACGGCCACAUGGGGACUGAGAGACGGACCAGAAGCCAACGGGAGGCAGCAGUGGGGAAUAUGGCACAAUGGGGGGGAGCCUGAUGCAGCGGUGCCGGGUGGGGGAUGCCGGGCUUCGAGUGGUAAACACCUGUCACCAUCGACGAAGGGUUUUUGACGGUAGAUGGAGAAGAAGCACCGGCUAACUACGUG
This 465-nucleotide ribosomal RNA is filed under the name uncultured bacterium. RNAcentral describes it as "partial 16S ribosomal RNA". It matches the Rfam family "Bacterial small subunit ribosomal RNA", at positions 28 to 507 of the family's 1533-position model. The record is from RNAcentral.